Molecule: long non-coding RNA, 405 nt
Filed under: Brassica rapa (field mustard)
Lineage: Eukaryota; Viridiplantae; Streptophyta; Magnoliopsida; Brassicales; Brassicaceae
Description: long non-coding RNA (BRAP_LNC004488)
Source: RNAcentral
AGGUAUAAAAUACAAAGUAUAAAAUAUAUACAUAUAUUAUUCAGAUGCAUAUAUAUAUUAUUCCGGUGACGUCCUUGGGUUUUAAUCUCCGGUGAGUCUCCAUCAGUGAUUUCGGUGUUCCACCGAGCUCGAGUUUUGUCAUUGCACCGUCGGAGCUUCAAGCGAACCCGUCCUCCAGCCCUAACCACUCUCGAUUCACCAUGCUCCAGCCGCCGUCGUUGAGCCAAGCAAAAAUCACCAUCUUCACUGCCGCCGUUGUUGAGCCAAGAAAGAGUCACUGAAACCGUGAGAUGCUCGGUAGAUCUGUCUGAUGGAGUCCAUGGUUAUGGCUCUCAGCCUUGUCUCCCGUAAAUCACCAUAGUUAAAACGAUUCAACAUGUAAAAUGAGACAAAGAGAGAGAGAUC